This 105-nucleotide small RNA is filed under the name Flavobacterium indicum GPTSA100-9 = DSM 17447. RNAcentral's name for it is "Flavo-1 RNA". It matches the Rfam family "Flavo-1 RNA". The record is from Rfam by way of RNAcentral. Lineage: Bacteria; Pseudomonadati; Bacteroidota; Flavobacteriia; Flavobacteriales; Flavobacteriaceae.
UUAUAGCCCCGGUUGAAGUGGCAUCCUUUUUUGGUGGCAAAACGAAACGUCAAUCUUAAAAAAUACGAGCCACCAAAAAAGAUAGAACGGAAAACGGGACCGGUU